Molecule: long non-coding RNA, 1234 nt
Filed under: Marmota monax (woodchuck)
Lineage: Eukaryota; Metazoa; Chordata; Mammalia; Rodentia; Sciuridae
Source: RNAcentral
AUUUGGCUUCAGAAAUGGUAUGGAGGUGUAUCUGACAUUUCAAAGGAGGAAUAUUUCAAAGCGGUUCCUAGAAAGGCCUGAUGCAAUGGAAGAAAGUCCCUGCUGUUUGCAUUAUAGUGAAAACCUUUUACGUGAUGUAACCGGACAGCUCUUGAACGCUGUCUCUUUGUUGAAGGCUUCGUGGUGCCCUGUCACCUACAGCAGAACGAGAGGAUGAAGAGGGAGCCUUGCGCGUGACUUGAGCCUCAAGGGGUCAUUUGAAGAUCCUCCACUUUCACAGGUACUUCACAGAGAUCGUCUUCGUUCACAUUGCGUUCAAUCCAGACUCACCUCUUGGUUGUCAAAACGGCACACUGAGACCUUUACUGGUCCAUUCUUUAGGAAAAAAAAAUUAUGCCUGUGUGUACAAUAUGACUGCUCUGUAUUGUGAGACUGUUUUUGUUGUUUUCUGUGCCAAACGCAGUGUCUUGGAUCAAAGCUUAUUGCAACCACAAAGGGGUUGAAUAUGCACCACACAGCCUCAAAACUGUGUACAGGGUGAGGGUGGAGGACUAUCUGUCUGUGGGUCACUCAUCAUGCUCCUGGAUUGCAAAUACAUCAUUGAGUCACAUUGGCUAGAUUGUAACCAAUGUCACUUAUGGUCACUUAUGGACUCCUCCCCCCUCUAACGUGAUCAGCAAUGUAAGAACGGGCAGAGUUUGCAGCACAGGCCUAUUCUGUAGAAGCAGAUGUUGGUAGAACACCAAAAAGAAUGGGGUAGAUUUGGCCUCAAGCUUCUUAGAUCCCAACUGCUCACAUUUUUUUUAUAGAGAAUUCCCCACUCGCAUGCAUGAGGAGUGGCAUCCAAAAUAAGAAGCACCUCGUGCCAUGGAUUGUAGAGAGGAAAAGGGAGAAGGGUGAGGCUGUGAAGCAAGCAAAGACAGAGCCUGAAAGGAGGAUGAAAGAGGUCACUAACUGAGGGUGCUUUCCAGAGGUCAUCUCAUUUAGGCCCUACAACCAAUGAGGGUAUGUCCUCAUUGUCACUUCCAGACAAGGAAACUGAGGCUCUGCAUGGCCAAGUCAAUAUUCAAGGUCAGACUCCUGAACUCCCUGCACAGAAUGGAUGAGUGCUUUUGAUUUUAAGAAUAGAGUUACUAAAAUGCUUAGUCGCUGAAAAUCCUUAAAGGGAGUAUGAAAGACAGGGACUGAUUUGUCUGGAGAUAAUUUGUCACUGCUUUCAGGAUUUAAAAAAAAA